RNAcentral lists this small RNA (682 nucleotides) under Pan troglodytes (chimpanzee). RNAcentral's name for it is "processed transcript". Lineage: Eukaryota; Metazoa; Chordata; Mammalia; Primates; Hominidae. The record is from RNAcentral.
AAACACCACAACCCCAGACCCAGACCCAGCGACUGGAAGGAACGGAUGGGCCUCUAGUGACAGAUCCAGAGACACACAAGAGCACCAAAGCAGCUCAUCCCACUGAUGACACCACGACGCUCUCUGAGAGACCAUCCCCAAGCACAGACGUCCAGACAGACCCCCAGACCCUCAAGCCAUCUGGUUUUCAUGAGGAUGACCCCUUCUUCUAUGGUAAGUUAUCCACAGGAAGAUGUGGGGGAAGGAAAGGUGAGGUCCAUCUGACUCUACCCCUUCAUUUUUCUCUCUGCAGAUGAACACACCCUCCGGAAACGGGGGCUGUUGGUCGCAGCUGUGCUGUUCAUCACAGGCAUCAUCAUCCUCACCAGUGGCAAGUGCAGGCAGCUGUCCCGGUUAUGCCGGAAUCAUUGCAGGUGAGUCCAUCAGAAACAGGAGCCAACAACCCGCUGGGCACCCGAAGACCAAGCCCCCUGCCAGCUCACCGUGCCCAGCCUCCUGCAUCCCCUCGAAGAGCCUGGCCAGAGAGGGAAGACACAGAUGAUGAAGCUGGAGCCAGGGCUGCCGGUCCAAGUCUCCUACCUCCCCCAACCCUGCCUGCCCCUGAAGGCUACCUGGCGCCUUGGGGGCUGUCCCUCAAGUUAUCUCCUCUGUUAAGACAAAAAGUAAAGCACUGUGGUCUUUG